UGAGUAAAUCGGAUGAUCGCAUGCUUAUUAAAGCAUGAGGAAAGUCCGUGCUCCAUAGGGCAGGAUGCUGGAUAACGUCCAGUGGGGGCGACCCUAAGGAUAGUGCAACAGAAAUAUACCGCCUGGCACUAACUGGUUUAAUGCCAGGUAAGGGUGGAAAGGCGAGGUAAGAGCUCACCAGCAGCUAGGCGACUAGCUGGCUCUGUAAACCCCAUCUGGAGCAAGACCAAGCAGGGACUAAAAAAAGGUGGUGGCCCGCUACCGUCCCAAAGGUAGGUCGCUAGAACUUAUUGGCAACAAUAAGUCAUAGAUAGAUGAUCAUCUGAGACAGAACACGGCUUACAGAUUUACUCAUCAA
This 358-nucleotide RNase P RNA is filed under the name Tissierellia bacterium. RNAcentral's name for it is "RNase P RNA component class A". It matches the Rfam family "Bacterial RNase P class A". Rfam says of the family: Ribonuclease P (RNase P) is a ubiquitous endoribonuclease, found in archaea, bacteria and eukarya as well as chloroplasts and mitochondria. Its best characterised activity is the generation of mature 5'-ends of tRNAs by cleaving the 5'-leader elements of precursor-tRNAs. The record is from RNAcentral. Lineage: Bacteria; Bacillati; Bacillota; Tissierellia.